AGCAUCACUCAUACCGCGCGCGGUCUACCGUGUUCCCUCGUCGGUGUGACCUUGUGGCCCUGCACCGGGAUCCCGAGGUCCGCUUUCGAGAUUGCGGACCACGAGUCGGAAGGAUAUCCAGUGUGCUUCUCCACGUUUGCCAUCCUCCCAACGUCCCCCACCGGAGAUGGCCUUGAGCACCUCUUACCGUGGCUGACCGCGUUGGCUCCUUUGCAUUUCCACGUCCAUGGCAUCCUUCUGCUACGGGCGUCUUCGUUUGCUACUACUGCCCACCUGUAAGAUGGAUAUCCAGUGCGCUGCUCCACGUUUGCCAUCCUCCCAACGUCCCCCUCAGGAGAUGGCCUAGAGCACCGCUCGUACCGUGAUCGUCCGCUCCCCUUCACCGGUGCGGUCUCGCUGGCAGACGAGAUUGCU
Dermacentor andersoni is the source of this 414-nucleotide long non-coding RNA. RefSeq lists it as uncharacterized. The record is from RefSeq and is a predicted model, not a curated record. NCBI's taxonomy places the organism in Eukaryota, Metazoa, Arthropoda, Arachnida, Ixodida, Ixodidae.